UGAGAGCUUUACAACCUGACCCACAGGCAG
Molecule: non-coding RNA, 30 nt
Filed under: Mus musculus (house mouse)
Lineage: Eukaryota; Metazoa; Chordata; Mammalia; Rodentia; Muridae
Source: RNAcentral